GGGGGUGGCCGAGUGGUUGAAGGCAGCAGACUGAUACUCUGUCCUACCGAAAGGUAGCGCGGGUUCGAAUCCCGCUCCCCCCGCCA
This 86-nucleotide transfer RNA is filed under the name Rhizobium leguminosarum bv. trifolii. RNAcentral's name for it is "tRNA-Ile". It matches the Rfam family "tRNA". Rfam says of the family: Transfer RNA (tRNA) molecules are approximately 80 nucleotides in length. Their secondary structure includes four short double-helical elements and three loops (D, anti-codon, and T loops). Further hydrogen bonds mediate the characteristic L-shaped molecular structure. tRNAs have two regions of fundamental functional importance: the anti-codon, which is responsible for specific mRNA codon recognition, and the 3' end, to which the tRNAs corresponding amino acid is attached (by aminoacyl-tRNA synthetases). tRNAs cope with the degeneracy of the genetic code in two manners: having more than one tRNA (with a specific anti-codon) for a particular amino acid; and 'wobble' base-pairing, i.e. permitting non-standard base-pairing at the 3rd anti-codon position. Lineage: Bacteria; Pseudomonadati; Pseudomonadota; Alphaproteobacteria; Hyphomicrobiales; Rhizobiaceae. The record is from RNAcentral.